RNAcentral lists this ribosomal RNA (497 nucleotides) under uncultured bacterium. RNAcentral's name for it is "partial 16S ribosomal RNA". It matches the Rfam family "Bacterial small subunit ribosomal RNA", at positions 38 to 507 of the family's 1533-position model. The record is from RNAcentral.
GGGGGGGGGGGGGGGGGGGCGGGGGGGGGGUGGGUGGGGCGAGGGGGCGGGGAGCUUGCUGCUCUGGCGGUGGCGGCGGACGGGUUGGUACCACGUGGCUACCCUACCUGUAAGACUUGGAUAGCUUCGGGCGACCGGAGCUACUACCGGCUAAUAUAUUUAACAUCAUGGUUCAAUAGUGAAAGACGGUUUUGCUGUCACUUAUAGAUUGAUCCGCGCUGCCUUAGCUAGUUGGUAAGGUAACGGCUUACCACGGCAACGAUGCGUAGCCGACCUGAGAGGGUGAUCGGCCACACUGGAAAUGAGACACGGUCCAGACUCCUACGGGAGGCAGCAGUAGGGAAUCUUCCGCAAUGGGCGAAAGCCUGACGGAGCAACGCCGCGUGAGUGAUGAAGGUCUUCGGAUCGUAAAACUCUGUUAUUAGGGAAGAACAAAUGUGUAAGUAACUAUGCACGUCUUGACGGUACCUAAUCAGAAAGCCACGGCUAACUACGUG